CGAGAACAGCGUCUCCUCCUCCUUCUUUGGAAAAAAAUAGAAUAAAUAUUCUGUAAAUUUUCCAACGUUGUUUUGCACGAGGCAUUAAAAGUGUGUCAAUGCAUAAAUAUUUAACACGAAGCAAUCACAUUGAGCCAGUGGUUGGUUGGUGGGUAUAAACUGGUGACAGAUUUUGCUACUGCUACUAUUUAUUUACUUCCCUUUCUGUUAGCGAGUUAAUUUCAUUUACUUAUUUUAUCGGUGGUGGUAUGCAGUGUGCAGAUACAGAUUAUUAUGAAUUUUGAAAGAAUGGAAUGGCUGAUUCAUGAUGUGGCACCAACGCCAAAGUAAUGCGCACUUGUAGACAAUAACAAACUACCUCAUGUCUUACAAAGUCUAGAAUGGCCUAGAUAAAUUAUUGACAAAUGUGUGAUCAAGUAACAUGAAAGAAGACAAGAUUUUGUUCAAGUCGUUAUCGAAAUUGAGCAGCUAUAUGAUUUGAUUAUUCAGAUGAAUGCUGUUUCCGGAGGGUUCAAAGUCGAAGAGAAUUAUGCAGAGAUUUUCAUGCAAAAUGAAAUAGACUCCGGUAUGAUGGUAGUAUGUAGGAUGGAUGUUAAGUAUAAAUUAAAUCAGUGAUAAGAAAUAUAUUGGAGACAUUCACAUUUUAA
Folsomia candida is the source of this 647-nucleotide long non-coding RNA. RefSeq lists it as uncharacterized. The transcript is spliced from 2 exons. NCBI's taxonomy places the organism in Eukaryota, Metazoa, Arthropoda, Collembola, Entomobryomorpha, Isotomidae. The record is from RefSeq and is a predicted model, not a curated record.